GACGAACGCUGGCGGCGUGCCUAAAACAUGCAAGUCGAACGAGGUCCACCCAGUGGCAACACUGGUGAAGACCUAGUGGCGAACGGGUGAGUAACACGUGAGGAACCUGCCCCGAAGACCGGAAUAACCCUCCGAAAGGAGAGCUAAUACCGGAUACCCCCUGGAGACCGCAUGGUCACCAGAGGAAAUGCUUUUGUGCUUCGGGAGGGCCUCGCGGCCUAUCAGCUUGUUGGUGAGGUAACGGCUCACCAAGGCAUCGACGGGUAGCUGGUCUGAGAGGACGAUCAGCCACACUGGGACUGAGACACGGCCCAGACUCCUACGGGAGGCAG
Molecule: ribosomal RNA, 332 nt
Filed under: uncultured Actinomycetes bacterium
Lineage: Bacteria; Bacillati; Actinomycetota; Actinomycetes
Description: bacterial SSU rRNA
Rfam family: Bacterial small subunit ribosomal RNA
Source: RNAcentral